Long non-coding RNA from Ictalurus punctatus (channel catfish), 2281 nucleotides. RefSeq lists it as uncharacterized. The record is from RefSeq and is a predicted model, not a curated record. The transcript is spliced from 3 exons. NCBI's taxonomy places the organism in Eukaryota, Metazoa, Chordata, Actinopteri, Siluriformes, Ictaluridae.
AGUCUGUAAGAAAUGGAGACAGCAGACAAGCGUAGAAAAGUGCAGCAGAGCAUACAAGCUUUUUUUCAGACAGCAGCACAGCAGCAAGACAGUGAGAGGGAGAGGCAGGCUGAAUGCAGUGGACAUGCAGAUGAUCAGGAGACUCACAGGUUCUCUCAAUAUGAAGACAGUGAUUGUCAUUCAGCGGCGAUACCACAUUUGUACCGCAAACUGCCUGUCAGUACUCAACUUUCGUCUCAGUUACAAAAGCAGCAGCACAUGGCCAGAAAUAGUCUCUUAAAGAUUGUGGGUGGGAUGAUGUGCUUGGCAAGUGCUUGGAAAUGCUUUCAGGGGCCAUGACAACAAAGAGGGCCACUUCCACCAGGUGAUUAAGUACAAGGCAGAGGGUGAUGAAGAACUUAGGAGCUGGCUUCAGCAUCACAAUAAUUUCACUAGCCCAAAAAUUCAAAAUGAGGUCCUUAAAAUUGUCAGUAACAAUUUUACGUGAAAUUACAAACGAGCUUCAGUCAUUGCCAGUGGUUCAGUAUUCCCUUAUAAUUGAUGGGACACAGAACGCAGCAGGAGUUGAGCAGGAGUCCUUCUGUAUGCGUUUCAUUGACAAUAACUUGCAACCAAGAGAGGAAUUCAUCGGCCUAUGUCAGGUCACAUCCACUACUGGAGAAAACAUAGCUAGUGUAGCUAAAGAUGUUCUAAUUUGCUUAAAUCUCCCACUAUCACAACUACGGGGUCAAACUUACAAUGGGGCAGCCAAUAUGUCUGGUAAGGUGCAAGGUGUACAAGCUCAUCUCCAGAAAGAACAGCCUCUGGCGGUGUAUGUUCAUUGUGGGUCGCAUUGUGUGAAUCUGAUCAUGCAAGCUGCUUGUAUAUCCUCCCCAUUAUAAGAGAUGCAAUGCACUUAGUGCAUGAAUUGGGGACUUUGUUCAACCAGUCCGGGAAGUUCAAGGUUAUCUUUGCCGCUAUAGUGAAAUCAGAUCACACAUCUCUUCAUACAUCUUUAAAGCCUCUCUGCCCCACCAGGUGGACAGUGCGAAUGCCAGUAUUGCGCUGUCCUCACCCAAUAUGAAUCUGCGCUCACAACCACAGAAGAAAUGUCUCAAUCCGCCACAAUGGAAAUGUCUGCAAAAGCAAGUGGCCUUCAUUGCAGGUUUUUGAGAGGAAAUGCCAUUCUUGGUAUUAUUCUGGCAGAAAAUAUCAUGGCUGUCUUGGAGGAGCUGAACAUUUCUCUACAGCAGAGAAGCCAAACAACAUCAGGGAUGCUGGCUGCUGUAGAGCAUGUGAAGAGAGCCUUGCAAAUGAAAAGAUCUGAAGAGCACUUUGACCAGCUGUACUCCAGAGCAUCACAGGUUGUAACAUCUCUAAACCUGCAGCCCAUCGAGAUGCCUCUUUUAUGGAUGCCUCCGAAGCGCUUCACUGGUCCUGCCACACCACAUCGUCAUUAUACUGCCCAAGCAUACUACAGAAUGCAGUACUUUAGUUCCUUGGAUACUGCUGUGAUGCAGUGCACUGAGUGUUUCAGCCAGGAUCGGCUACAAAGGCUGCAAAAAUUAGAAGACCUACUCCUCUCUGGAAAGAUUGAUGCAGACCUAGAUGAAUACCCAGAGUUGAAUGUCACAGCUUUAGAAGUGCAGCUGAAAUGUUCCAGGCCAACUACAAAUAUUCAACCUCUUCAGAGGUAGCAGAAAUUUUAUGGGAAAUGAUGCCUGAGGUGCAACACUUUUUCAGGCAAGUUGAGGUCCUUUUGAGACUGCUAAUGGUUGUUUCUGCCUCCUCAGCCGGAGGCAGAGAGAAGUUUCAGUGCCUUGAGACGUCUGAAGACUUGGCUGAGAACUACAAUGAUGCAGUGUCGGCUAAACAAUAUUGCCAUUUGCCAUGUGCAUCAAGAGAAAUUGGAUGCAUUGGACAAGACACAAAUCUGUCAGAGCCUAGUUGAGUUCAGUGAUGAGUGCCUCCAGGUUUUUGGGUCAUUUAUUUAGAUGAUACCUUUCCAUUUCCACCCCUUGCUACAUUGUCUGUAGCUGCAGUACACAUACUCACCCCAUUUUUACACCCAAAGAGCCAUACAUCUAACAUUACACUGCUGAAACUGAUUCCGACACUCAUUCAACACUCACAUAAUUUAAUUUACAACAAGAUAAUUCAUAACUUUGCUUUUACCAUUGUUGUCUGUCAAGUUUUUGACUUUUAUUUUUUUGUACAAGUCAUUCAUUCACAUUACACUUUUCAGUGUAAAUAGAUAGACUUACUUUAAGAUAAAUAAAAAAUAUAUAAAGUUGGACAUCUA